GUGGAGCAUGUGGUUUAUUCGACGCAACGCGAAGAACCUUACCUGGCCUUGACAUGCAGAGAACUUUCCAGAGAUGGAUUGGUGCUUCGGGAACUCUGACACAGGUGCUGCAUGGCCGUCGUCAGCUCGUGUCGUGAGAUGUUGGGUUAAGUCCCGUAACGAGCGCAACCCCUAUCCCUAGUUGCUAGCAGUUCGGCUGAGAACUCUAGGGAGACUGCCGGUGACAAACCGGAGGAAGGUGGGGAUGACGUCAGGUCAUCAUGGCCCUUACGGCCAGGGCUACACACGUGCUACAAUGGUGCGCACAGAGGGCUGCAAACCCGCGAGGGGGAGCCAAUCUCACAAAACGCAUCGUAGUCCGGAUCGCAGUCUGCAACUCGACUGCGUGAAGUCGGAAUCGCUAGUAAUCGUGAAUCAGAAUGUCACGGUGAAUACGUUCCCGGGCCUUGUACACACCGCCCGUCACACCAUGGGAGUGGAUUGCACCAGAAGUGGUUAGUCUAACCUUCGGGAGGACGAUCACCACGGUGUGGUUCAUGACUGGGGUGAAGUCGUAACAAGGUAACCGUA
This 570-nucleotide ribosomal RNA is filed under the name uncultured Marinobacter sp. Its description in RNAcentral is "bacterial SSU rRNA". It matches the Rfam family "Bacterial small subunit ribosomal RNA", at positions 932 to 1504 of the family's 1533-position model. Lineage: Bacteria; Pseudomonadati; Pseudomonadota; Gammaproteobacteria; Pseudomonadales; Marinobacteraceae. The record is from RNAcentral.